This 506-nucleotide ribosomal RNA is filed under the name uncultured bacterium. RNAcentral describes it as "partial 16S ribosomal RNA". It matches the Rfam family "Bacterial small subunit ribosomal RNA", at positions 29 to 523 of the family's 1533-position model. The record is from RNAcentral.
AGUGAACGCUGGCGGUAGGCCUAACACAUGCAAGUCGAACGGCAGCACAGGAGAGCUUGCUCUCUGGGUGGCGAGUGGCGGACGGGUGAGGAAUACAUCGGAAUCUACUCUGUCGUGGGGGAUAACGUAGGGAAACUUACGCUAAUACCGCAUACGACCUACGGGUGAAAGCAGGGGAUCUUCGGACCUCGCGCGAUUGAAUGAGCCGAUGUCGGAUUAGCUAGUUGGCGGGGUAAAGGCCCAACAAGGCGACGAUCCGUAGCUGGUCUGAGAGGAUGAUCAGCCACACUGGAACUGAGACACGGUCCAGACUCCUACGGGAGGCAGCAGUGGGGAAUAUUGGACAAUGGGCGCAGGCCUGAUCCAGCCAUACCGCGUGGGUGAAGAAGGCCUUCGGGUUGUAAAGCCCUUUUGUUGGGAAAGAAAUCCAGCUGGCUAAUACCCGGUUGGGAUGACGGUACCCAAAGAAUAAGCACCGGCUAACUUCGUGCCAGCAGCCGCAGUAA